AUUGAACGCUGGCGGCAGGCUUAACACAUGCAAGUCGAGCGGGGUGAUGGUGCUUGCACUAUCACUUAGCGGCGGACGGGUGAGUAAUGCUUAGGAAUCUGCCUAUUAGUGGGGGACAACAUCUCGAAAGGGAUGCUAAUACCGCAUACGUCCUACGGGAGAAAGCAGGGGAUCACUUGUGACCUUGCGCUAAUAGAUGAGCCUAAGUCGGAUUAGCUAGUUGGUGGGGCAAAGGCCUACCAAGGCGACGAUCUGUAGCGGGUCUGAGAGGAUGAUCCGCCACGCUGGGACUGAGACACGGCCCAGACUCCUACGGGAGGCAGCAGUGGGGAAUAUUGGACAAUGGGGGGAACCCUGAUCCAGCCAUGCCGCGUGUGUGAAGAAGGCCUUAUGGUUGUAAAGCACUUUAAGCGAGGAGGAGGCUCUUUUGGUUAAUACCCAAGAUGAGUGGACGUUACUCGCAGAAUAAGCACCGGCUAACUCUGUGCCAGCCGCCGCAGUAA
This 503-nucleotide ribosomal RNA is filed under the name uncultured bacterium. RNAcentral's name for it is "partial 16S ribosomal RNA". It matches the Rfam family "Bacterial small subunit ribosomal RNA", at positions 30 to 523 of the family's 1533-position model. The record is from RNAcentral.